RNAcentral lists this ribosomal RNA (449 nucleotides) under uncultured eukaryote. RNAcentral describes it as "SSU rRNA". It matches the Rfam family "Eukaryotic small subunit ribosomal RNA", at positions 455 to 911 of the family's 1831-position model. The record is from RNAcentral.
CACAGGGAGGUAGUGACAAUAAAUAACAAUACAGGGCUCUUUGAGUCUUGUAAUUGGAAUGAGUACAAUUUAAACACCUUAACGAGAACCAAUUGGAGGGCAAGUCUGGUGCCAGCAGCCGCGGUAAUUCCAGCUCCAAUAGCGUAUAUUAAAGUUGUUGCAGUUAAAAAGCUCGUAGUUGAACUUUGGGCUUGUCCAGUUGGUCUCCUUAACGGGAUGUACUCUCAGGACGGGCUCCACCCUUUGGGGAACCAGUCUGCUCUUAACUGGGUGGACUGGAGAUCCAAGACUUUUACUUUGAGUAAAUUAGAGUGUUCAAAGCAGGCUCACGCUUGAAUACGUUAGCAUGGAAUAAUGGAAUAGGACCUUGGUUCUAUUUUGUUGGUUUAUAGGACCAUAGUAAUGAUUAAUAGGGACAGUUGGGGGCAUUAGUAUUUCAGGGCUAGAGG